CCGCCUUGGCGCUCCCCUCGGCGGCCGCGGCGGCGGAGUGCGGGGAGGGAGGGGAGAGCGGGUCACGCCGCUGCGGGGCGGGGAUAACCCCUCACGUGGAGCAGAUGAAAGGGCCGCGGCGCGACGGCCGGGGGAGCCGAGCGGAGCCUGCGACCCACAAAGCCGCCGCCGCUGCCGCCGCCGCCGCCGCCGCCGCGAUGGGGCCGUGAGGGGCCCGCCGCGCUCCCCGCCGGCCCGCCCGCCCGCGACUAUGCCCGGCCGCGCCCGCCCUCCGCGCCCGGCCGCCGCAGGACCAUGAGGCCGCGCCCGGGCGGGCGCGCGGGGGCCCCGGGCCGCCGCCGCCGCCGCCCCCGCCGCCGCCCCCGCGCGCCCCGCCGCCGCCUGCCUCCGCCGCCGCCGCUGCCGCUGCUGCUCGGGCUGCUGCUGGCGGCCGCGGGCCCCGGCGCGGCGCGGGCCAAGGAGACGGCGUUCGUGGAGGUGGUGCUGUUCGAGUCGAGCCCGAGCGGCGACUACACCACCUACACCACCGGCCUCACCGGCCGCUUCUCGCGGGCCGGCGCCACGCUCAGCGCCGAGGGCGAGAUCGUGCAGAUGCACCCACUGGGCCUAUGUAAUAACAAUGAUGAAGAGGACUUGUAUGAAUAUGGCUGGGUAGGAGUGGUGAAGCUCGAGCAGCCAGAAUUGGACCCAAAGCCAUGCCUCACUGUCCUGGGCAAGGCCAAGCGAGCAGUGCAGCGGGGAGCGACCGCGGUCAUCUUUGAUGUGUCCGAGAACCCAGAAGCCAUCGACCAGCUGAACCAGGGUUCAGAAGAUCCUCUCAAGAGGCCGGUGGUGUACGUGAAGGGCGCAGACGCCAUCAAGCUGAUGAACAUCGUCAACAAGCAGAAGGUGGCCCGAGCAAGGAUUCAGCACCGCCCCCCUCGGCAACCCACUGAGUACUUUGACAUGGGCAUCUUUCUGGCUUUCUUCGUUGUGGUCUCCUUGGUCUGCCUCAUCCUCCUUGUGAAAAUCAAGCUGAAGCAGCGACGGAGUCAGAAUUCCAUGAACAGGCUGGCCGUGCAGGCUCUAGAGAAGAUGGAGACCAGGAAGUUCAGCUCCAAGAGCAAGGGACGCCGGGAGGGGAGCUGCGGGGGCCUGGACACGCUGAGCAGCAGCUCCACGUCCGACUGUGCCAUCUGCCUGGAGAAGUACAUCGACGGCGAGGAGCUGCGGGUCAUCCCCUGCACACAUCGAUUCCACAGGAAGUGUGUGGACCCCUGGCUGCUGCAGCACCACACCUGCCCUCACUGUCGGCACAACAUCAUCGAACAAAAGGGAAGCCCUGGCGCCGUGUGUGUGGAGACCGGUGGCCUGGCACGCGGCCGGCAGCAGCGGGUGAUUCUGCCCGUGCACUACCCUGGCCGGGUGCACCGGGCCAGCGCCAUCCCGGCCUACCCGACGCGGACGAGCAUGGACGCCCACGGCAACCCCGUCACGCUGCUGACCGUGGACCGGCACGGGGAGCAGAGCCUCUACCCGCCGCAGACACCGGCCUACCUCCGCGGCUACCCACCCCUCCACCUGGACCGCGGCCUGGCCCCUCACCGCUGCGGCCUGGAGCACCGCGGCUACUCCUCCGCCCACCCCUUCCGCAGGCCCAAGUUCAGCGGCCGCAGCUUCUCCAAGGCAGCUUGCUUCUCCCAGUACGAGACCAUGUACCAGCACUACUGCUUCCAGGGCCUCACUUACCCCGAGCAGGAGGGCCAGCAGGCUCCCGGCCUCUCGCCCAGGGGCCCAGCCCGGGCCUUCCCCGCCGGCGGCGGUGGCGGUGGCGGUGGCGGCGGCGGCGGUCUGCUCCUCCCUGCCGUGGUGCACAUGGCCGCCCCUUCCCACCUGGAGAGCGGCAGCGUGUCCAGCUUCAGCUGCUACCAUGGCCACCGCUCCGUGUGCAGCGGCUACCUGGCCGACUGCCCGGGCAGCGACAGCAGCAGCAGCAGCAGCAGCUCGGGCCGGUGCCGCUGCUCGUCCAGCGACUCGGUGGUGGACUGCACCGAGGUCAGCAACCAGGGCGUGUACGGCAGCUGCUCCACCUUCCGCAGCUCGCUCAGCAGCGACUACGACCCCUUCGUCUACCGCAGCCGGAGCCCCUGCUGCCCCAGCGAGGCGGGAGGCACGGGCCGGGGGCCUGCGGCGCCCCCUGAGGAGCUCCCUGUGCCGCACGGUCUGGGCGCUGGGCGGGCUGAGCCUUGGCUGGGGCUGGCCUCGCCCCUGGGGGACCAGCUGUCCACCUGCAGCCUAGAGAUGAACUACAGCAGCAGCACCGCCUCUGCCUCAGAAGUGGGGUUUGAGGCCUCUCCUGGGGCCGCCCUCGAUCUCAGGAGAACCUGGAAGGGGGGACGCGAGGGGCCACCGUGUGCCUGCUGCUGCGAACCCCCUCCGGUCACCUUGGAGUCCGAGGUCGGAGCCGCCAGGGGCAGCGCCUCAGUCCUGGGCACCCCGGUCCGUGAGGGCCGUGGCCCCCCGGGCGAGGAGACACAGCUGGACAGCUCCCAGGGCAGAGCCAGCCUGCACCCGGACCACGUGCCCAGGACAGACGGGCUGAGAUGCGAGGGCCUGCCCUGCUGCUUCUAUGAAGAGAAGCAGGUGGCCCGUGGCGGGGCCGGUGGCUACGCUGAGGACUGCUCUGUGAGCGUGCAGUACACACUCGCCCACAGGCCCCCGCCCAGCAGCCCCCCGGGGGCCCUGGAGCUGAGCCAGCGUGUCCCCAUCAUUCCUGAGGAUGUGGACUGUGACCUGGCCCUGCCCGCGGACUGUCUGGGGACCCACAGCCUCAGCCCCUGGGAUGGGACACUGGACCCAGAUGCUCUGUGGCCUCACAGGGGCCUGGGACUGGCCCAGGAGGAAGAUCAGGCCCGUUGCCACCCCGCUCAGCUCUCGCAGCCGUCUGGCCACCUUCCAGAGGAGGCGCGGGCUGCCAGGACCAGCUUCCCCAGUGCCCCCCAAGACACUCAGGAGUCUAGUGCCCCCGCCGCCGCUGAGGCUGCAGGUGAGAGAAGGAGGUGACAGGCCCAGAGCCGGUGCUCCCGUCUGGGGUCCUCUCUCCAAGAUGCGGUGUACAUGUGGCAUCCUUUGUGUCCUGACUCUGAACACUGUGCCUGGUGACUUCCGGGUGCUGUUCCCCCAGCCCAGCCCAGCCCAGCCCAGCCCUCGCCUGAGUUCUAGGCCGCCAGGGCUCUCUUCUUCCCCAUGCCUGACAGGCACCCUCAACCUUGAUGUCUACGGUAGUGCUCCAAGCCCCUCCGUCUGCACUCCUCCUGGGCCCCUCAGCCUGCCCGCGGGAACUGUGCCUGCUCGUUUCCCCGGCUAGAAAGCUGGGCUCCUAGGAAAAGAAACGCAGCAAGGCACGGCAGCUUCUGCUGCUGGACUCAGCAGACAUCGUCAGACGGCUCGAGUUUCCAAGUGUUUUGUCUCAGAGAGAAGCAGAGUGCAGUGCAGCUCCCUUUGAGAAGCACUGAACAAGAUCCAGCCCCCAAGUAGAGCCGGCAGUUGACAGCUCUGCGCCCCCACUGUCCCCACUGCCACCUUCCGGGCCCAGCCCCUCUCUCCAGGGAAGGGCAAGAGCCUUGUUCCCGACCUUCUGCCCCGCAUGGGGGUCAGAGUGGUCCUUGCUGACAUGACAGAAAUCUAGCCCAGCUGGCGGUGGCACAGCAGCCUGAGCCCAGAAGGAACUCUGGGGUGAAAGUGGGAACUGCAUGGAGACUCCAAACUCUGGCUCCCUUCAGGAAAAAAAAAAAAAAAGACAGAGAGAGAAAAAAAAAUGAUUUUUUAGCUUUGACAAACACACAAAGAUGGUAAUUUAAAAAAAAAAAAAAGCCCUCCUCAACCCAAAAUGUGAGCCCCCUGGGGCAAACCGCUACCCUGCUAUCCCCUUAACAAACCAACAGAUUCCAGGACUGAGUCUUCUGCCUCUUUUGAUAACAUGUUCCUCUUUGGUAAAGUGUGUGUGCCUGGGGUUCUGAGGUGUGCGGGAUUGAGUUCUCUGCUUUGUUUUUUUAAGAUGUUAUAUAUAAAUGUAAAAAGUUAUUUAAAUAUAUAUUUUAAAGAACCCUAACCACCAAGUUUUGCUGAAAA
RNA transcript from Erinaceus europaeus (western European hedgehog), 4110 nucleotides. It is a transcript of the gene named zinc and ring finger 3, with no coding region annotated. The record is from RefSeq and is a predicted model, not a curated record. NCBI's taxonomy places the organism in Eukaryota, Metazoa, Chordata, Mammalia, Eulipotyphla, Erinaceidae. The transcript is spliced from 9 exons.